Molecule: unclassified non-coding RNA, 488 nt
Filed under: Hevea brasiliensis (rubber tree)
Lineage: Eukaryota; Viridiplantae; Streptophyta; Magnoliopsida; Malpighiales; Euphorbiaceae
Source: RNAcentral
UUGUCCAAAGAGCUAUGAAAAUCAUUUACUAGAGCAAUCAAACCUACAUCUAGCCAUGUUAACAAUUCAUAUACCCAUCAUUUGAGAUGUAAAGAAUCUAAUGCUUAUAUCAACUUUCAUUGCUUAGCCUUUAAUCAAUUUAAUUAUCUAAAAAUCCCAAACCAAUCAAUCAAAAGAGAAAGUUAUGUUCGAAAAGAAUUCUAAAACAAUCAAUAGCCAAAGUAUCUCUAUGUAAAAUGAUGGAAUUUGAUGAAUUGAUGAAUAUAUUUCCAAUCCCAUAAGCAAACUUCCUAUCCAUAUCUCUAGUAAUGAAGCAAGUACAAUUAAUAGAUCGAAGGACUUUAAGGGUUGUAUUAGGGUUAAAGGGCUUAAAAUGAGGCUAACAAAGAAGAGGUAAAAGAGAUUCAAAGUAUAAAAAUAUUUUAAUAUGAAAAUAUAAAGUAAUCCCUUUUAUUUGUAAAUUUUUUUUCUAGAUAAUAAAAAAUGAG